Hyaena hyaena (striped hyena) is the source of this 663-nucleotide long non-coding RNA. RefSeq lists it as uncharacterized. The transcript is spliced from 2 exons. NCBI's taxonomy places the organism in Eukaryota, Metazoa, Chordata, Mammalia, Carnivora, Hyaenidae. The record is from RefSeq and is a predicted model, not a curated record.
UCUGUUUCCACGCCUCCCAUCCUAGCCCAGGCCCAAACGCUUGCAGCCUGGCGGACAGCAACCUCAGACAGCGUACCUUUCCCCUCUGUUCCACCCGACACGGAACUUCUGAUAGCGGAGUUCUGACUACGUCAAUCCACUGCUCUGAAACCUUCCUUGAUUUUCUACUGAAGACAAUCAAGUGGAAACUCGUCAGCCUUCAGACCUUUCCGUAGGGUGUUCCGUAGGGAACAUAAGAAAUUAGAUGCUUCCAGAACUUUUCAGUCUGACCUUCCUUCUCUACCUGCCAGGGCCACACCCAUUCAAAGCUCUCCCAUCUCCAAGAUAAGAAUGCCUGGAAGCAACGACACCCCAAAAGCAACAAGCACUUCUUUAACCCGGCCUCAGGACCUGAUGUGCUUCUCCAAUAAAAGAGACCAGGGCUCCUUGGACAAAUGGCUAAUUUUGGAACUGGGGCAGGAAAAUACACAAGGUGAGAGUUAAGCAUCUUACAGCACCAGAAAAUAAGGAAGCACUGUGUAUUUUAAAAACAUACAAACCAACAAAACAUACAAACAAGUGCAAACAACGAUGGGGGUAUGCCGAAGGAAUACAUGAACCGCCUGAAAGAGCUCCAACUGGUAAAGGCUGGGACAACUGGAACAACAAAAUAAAUAUAAUAAA